UACGAAGGGUGCAAGCGUUGUUCGGAUUUAUUGGGCGUAAAGCGCGCGCAGGCGGAUGAGAAAGUCAGGUGUGAAAUCUCGGGGCUUAACCCCGAAAUUGCGCCUGAAACUGUUUAUCUAGAAUAUUGGAGGGGAUAGGGGAAUUUCUCAUGUAGGGGUAAAAUCCGUAGAUAUGAGAAGGAACACCGGAGGCGAAGGCGCCUAUCUGGCCAAUUAUUGACGCUGAGGCGCGAAAGCGUGGGGAGCAAACAGG
This 253-nucleotide ribosomal RNA is filed under the name uncultured bacterium. RNAcentral's name for it is "partial 16S ribosomal RNA". It matches the Rfam family "Bacterial small subunit ribosomal RNA", at positions 524 to 776 of the family's 1533-position model. The record is from RNAcentral.